RNAcentral lists this ribosomal RNA (255 nucleotides) under uncultured bacterium. RNAcentral's name for it is "partial 16S ribosomal RNA". It matches the Rfam family "Bacterial small subunit ribosomal RNA", at positions 524 to 776 of the family's 1533-position model. The record is from RNAcentral.
UACGGGGGGAGCAAGCGUUGUUCGGAUUUACUGGGCGUAAAGGGCGCGUAGGCGGUCAGCACAAGUCAGUUGUGAAAUCUCCGAGCUUAACUCGGAACGGUCAACUGAUACUGUUUUGCUAGAGUACAGAAAGGGCAAUCGGAAUUCUUGGUGUAGCGGUGAAAUGCGUAGAUAUCAAGAGGAACACCUGAGGCGAAGGCGGGUUGCUAGGCUGAUACUGACGCUGAGUGCGCGAAAGCCAGGGGAGCGAACGGG